This 268-nucleotide ribosomal RNA is filed under the name Salmonella enterica subsp. enterica serovar Anatum. Its description in RNAcentral is "partial 23S ribosomal RNA". It matches the Rfam family "Bacterial large subunit ribosomal RNA", at positions 1300 to 1569 of the family's 2925-position model. The record is from RNAcentral. Lineage: Bacteria; Pseudomonadati; Pseudomonadota; Gammaproteobacteria; Enterobacterales; Enterobacteriaceae.
ACAUAAGUAACGAUAAAGCGGGUGAAAAGCCCGCUCGCCGGAAGACCAAGGGUUCCUGUCCAACGUUAAUCGGGGCAGGGUGAGUCGACCCCUAAGGCGAGGCCGAAAGGCGUAGUCGAUGGGAAACGGGUUAAUAUUCCCGUACUUGGUGUUACUGCGAAGGGGGGACGGAGAAGGCUAUGUUGGCCGGGCGACGGUUGUCCCGGUUUAAGCGUGUAGGUGUGUGUUCCAGGUAAAUCCGGUUCACUUUAACACUGAGGCGUGAGGA